Molecule: long non-coding RNA, 1311 nt
Organism: Clarias gariepinus (North African catfish)
Lineage: Eukaryota; Metazoa; Chordata; Actinopteri; Siluriformes; Clariidae
Exons: 2
Source: RefSeq, a predicted model, not a curated record
CACAUACACACACACACACACACACACACACACAUACACAGACUUACACUCACCUGCACCACAAUAAUAACUGAUGUGUGGGUGUGUUGGUGUGUUUGAGCUCAGUUCAGGGAUCAGGAUUAUAAAUCUUCAAGAUUGUACUUUGACAUUUUUAUAAAUCCCUUCCGUGUGUGCUUAAGCGUGUGUGUGUUUACGUGGCAUGAUGUCGUCAAACUGGGCGAGGACACCUCUCUGACCGGGCUGUUAGACUUGUUAAGCUGGUGCAGGAAUGCGGUGCGACUUUGCUGCUUUUUGCUUUGUAACACACAUCGAGGUGUUAGUGCUGGAGCGAUGGACUUCACCCGGUAUGUGGGACGCUGCUUCGGCUUCUUCGUCCUGGCCAUCAUCCUGGACGUGGGCGGCCUCGUGCUCUUCCUGCUCGGCAUCUUCGCACCGCUCAGCUUCUGGGAUUUCUUCGUCCUCUCUGGACCCAUUAUCAUCUUUCUCAGCCUUAUAUUCUGGAUCUUCUGGUACUUGGGGAACCUUAACGUGCCAUACCAGCAGCUCCUAGCUUAGAGGAGUGGACAUAAGGGAUGGGGGAAGAGGGAUUGGGACCAAUCCAAGAGAUUGGGGACUUUCAGUGUUUUUACGAGCGACGGGGGGACGAUCAAGCACUUUAGCGGAGCUGUGAUGUGACCACCACAGAGGGAUCUGCUGUGGUGAUGAUCACGUGCUGAAGCCUUACAUGAAGAAUACAACUGACACUGAUGACUGUGAACUGUGAUGAACUCCACAGGACUUAAUCCGCACUCUGUGCACUUUGUUUAAGGAUGCUUGUUCUGAAAUCUGAACGAAGCCCCAGCAGUCAUGCCGCUGUUACUGUUAAUGUAUUUAAUAUACGAGAAGUGAAGGUGAAGACGAGGUGGACCACACAUACCACACAAACACACACACACACACACACAGGAAUAGGGGGAAUGUAAUCUAAUGCAAACACUGCAACGAUGCUUAAAUUCCAGACGGAAGCAGUCCAACUGGAAGAGCUUGUGUGUGUGCAUACAUGUGUGUGUGUUUGUGUGUGCAUAUUUUAGCAGCUUCUGAUACUGAAAAUCUUGUAACAUUGAGGAUUAUUAUAUUGAUCACAACAACUUGUAGACAUGAAUAUUCCAAAAACCUGAGCUUCAGUGCUACUGGGUUUAAUGACGAUGAUGAUGAUGAUGAUGAUGAUGAUGUCACUGUUGUAAAAUAAGAUUUACAUCUGUUCCCCUUUCCCUCUAUUUCUGUCAUUGUCUAGACUGCAGGUUGCUUUAGAAUAAAAGGCGCAGUGUGUCA